This 36-nucleotide transfer RNA is filed under the name Pakaraimaea dipterocarpacea. RNAcentral describes it as "partial tRNA-Phe". The record is from RNAcentral. Lineage: Eukaryota; Viridiplantae; Streptophyta; Magnoliopsida; Malvales; Cistaceae.
GUCAGGAUAGCUCAGCCGGUAGAGCAGAGGACUGAA